RNAcentral lists this ribosomal RNA (252 nucleotides) under uncultured bacterium. RNAcentral's name for it is "partial 16S ribosomal RNA". It matches the Rfam family "Bacterial small subunit ribosomal RNA", at positions 524 to 776 of the family's 1533-position model. The record is from RNAcentral.
UACGUAGGUGGCGAGCGUUAUCCGGAAUGAUUGGGCGUAAAGGGUGCGUAGGCGGCCUGCUAAGUCUGGAGUGAAAGGUACCGGCUCAACCGGUACAGGCUCUGGAAACUGGCGGGCUAGAGAGCAGGAGAGGGCGGUGGAACUCCAUGUGUAGCGGUAAAAUGCGUAGAUAUAUGGAAGAACACCAGUGGCGAAGGCGAUUCUCUGGACUGUAACUGACGCUGAGGCUCGAAAGCGUGGGGAGCAAACAGG